Prunus mume (Japanese apricot) is the source of this 444-nucleotide non-coding RNA. The record is from RefSeq and is a predicted model, not a curated record. NCBI's taxonomy places the organism in Eukaryota, Viridiplantae, Streptophyta, Magnoliopsida, Rosales, Rosaceae.
UAAAAUGGCUGUAUCAUAGUAGAGCUAACAAUCGAAGCCAGACAGGAAGCAAACAAACACUUUUGUGUGUGAGCUUAACAAACAGAAAAUGGCAUCACUCAAGGUUGAGAAACCUGUUGGCACUCAACCCUCUGCAGGGCAGGCCAAGAAAGAACCUGCUCCCAAAGCUAGUGGCACCACGCCCAAAGCUCCGGCCUCCAAACCAGCCCCUAAGAAGGCUGAGCCAAAGCCUAGGGAGCCUAAGAAGAAGACAACGGGAAGCAAGCCUGCAACCAAGAAUUAGAUCAACGGCGCAAGGUGUGGAGUACAUGAAGAUGCUAAAUCACCGUGGUCCUCCCUAUGUUUUAUAAUAACAUAACCGCACACUUGGUUGUGAUAUAUGUACAUGUCUCUCAUUUUAGGCUUGGCGUAAUGAAUAAAAAGAUACCUAUAUUUUAAAAGGAA